RNAcentral lists this ribosomal RNA (385 nucleotides) under uncultured bacterium. RNAcentral describes it as "bacterial SSU rRNA". It matches the Rfam family "Bacterial small subunit ribosomal RNA", at positions 774 to 1157 of the family's 1533-position model. The record is from RNAcentral.
AGUGAAUAGAUACCCUGGUAGUCCACGCUGUAAACGAUGGGUACUAGAUGUUGCAGGAAAUUGACCCCUGCAGUGUCGACGCCAACGCAUUAAGUACCCCGCCUGGGAAGUACGGCCGCAAGGUUAAAACUCAAAGGAAUUGACGGGGGGCCCGCACAAGCGGUGGAGCAUGUGGUUUAAUUCGAUGCAACGCGAAAACCUUACCUGGGUUUGACAUCCCCAGACAGCCGUAGAGAUACGGUUUCCUCUUCGGAGGCUGGGAGACAGGUGCUGCAUGGCUGUCGUCAGCUCGUAUCGUGAGAUGUCGGGUUGAGUCCCUUAACGAGCGCAACCCUUAUCCCUAGUUGCCAUCAUUUAGUUGGGCACUCUAAGGAGACCGCCGGCG